GGCGUGCCUAAUACAUGCAAGUCGAGCGGACAGAUGGGAGCUUGCUCCCUGAUGUUAGCGGCGGACGGGUGAGUAACACGUGGGUAACCUGCCUGUAAGACUGGGAUAACUCCGGGAAACCGGGGCUAAUACCGGAUGGUUGUUUGAACCGCAUGGUUCAGACAUAAAAGGUGGCUUCGGCUACCACUUACAGAUGGACCCGCGGCGCAUUAGCUAGUUGGUGAGGUAACGGCUCACCAAGGCGACGAUGCGUAGCCGACCUGAGAGGGUGAUCGGCCACACUGGGACUGAGACACGGCCCAGACUCCUACGGGAGGCAGCAGUAGGGAAUCUUCCGCAAUGGACGAAAGUCUGACGGAGCAACGCCGCGUGAGUGAUGAAGGUUUUCGGAUCGUAAAGCUCUGUUGUUAGGGAAGAACAAGUGCCGUUCAAAUAGGGCGGCACCUUGACGGUACCUAACCAGAAAGCCACGGCUAACUACGUGCCAGCAGCCGCGGUAAUACGUAGGUGGCAAGCGUUGUCCGGAAUUAUUGGGCGUAAAGGGCUCGCAGGCGGUUUCUUAAGUCUGAUGUGAAAGCCCCCGGCUCAACCGGGGAGGGUCAUUGGAAACUGGGGAACUUGAGUGCAGAAGAGGAGAGUGGAAUUCCACGUGUAGCGGUGAAAUGCGUAGAGAUGUGGAGGAACACCAGUGGCGAAGG
RNAcentral lists this ribosomal RNA (698 nucleotides) under Bacillus sp. (in: firmicutes). RNAcentral's name for it is "bacterial SSU rRNA". It matches the Rfam family "Bacterial small subunit ribosomal RNA", at positions 41 to 721 of the family's 1533-position model. The record is from RNAcentral. Lineage: Bacteria; Bacillati; Bacillota; Bacilli; Caryophanales; Bacillaceae.